Pezoporus flaviventris is the source of this 1744-nucleotide long non-coding RNA. RefSeq lists it as uncharacterized. The record is from RefSeq and is a predicted model, not a curated record. NCBI's taxonomy places the organism in Eukaryota, Metazoa, Chordata, Aves, Psittaciformes, Psittacidae. The transcript has 3 exons.
UGGUUGUGCAUAUGAGAGCUGAGAAAGAGGCAGCAGCUGAGCUUGAGAGGCAGGUAAAGCAGCAUGGAGACACCGCUGAAGAAGGACCAGGAAACUGGGGCAUAGAUGCAGAAGGUGGGCAGCAGAGCAGAGGAUGCUCCAGUGCAUGCAGGCACUGACCAUUUACCCCAGGCCGAGCUCUGUCCUCAUGGAACACCAGAGCUGGCUGGAGAGCAGCAGGCUGGGACAGGAUUUGGCCUGCAGAGCAGAGAGGGGGGUUUGCAGCAUUGGCAACAACAUGCUGUGAUUCAAGAGCGAUCCUUUAAACAAGGUUAUUACUCACUUUACCAGGCACAGCUAUCCAUUAUGGUUAAUAGAACACCACAUAAGUGAUUCUCAGCCCGAUCCAAACAAUAUAUCUUGCGGCCCAGCUGGACUCGCUUUUAUUCUUACCUCUCACUGGAGGAUGUGUUGGCAUCAGCAGACAUGGAGAUGCUGGUACCUGAUAGUGUGGACAGCCAAGAUCUGCUGCUUUCCAAGGGGAUGAGUGAUGUGAGCUGUUGGAUGGGAAGCAGUUGCCACCUCCCUGCCAUGUCCUUCUCCGAAGGACAGGAUCCAUGUUGGCCAUGGUGCAGUGGAAAGAAGCCUGUCUGGGUUGCCUGUACUCGCUCCAUAACAAGAGGGUGGCCUCUCGAUAGACUAUACUUCAUGCUUUCCAUCACUAUAGCUGCUGUUUUGGCUGCAUGAAGGGUGAUGUCUCACUGCCCUGGAGCAGAUGAGGUUUGCAGGCUGGGGACGGGGAGAAGGACCAGCUUGGGCUGCAAGAGGAAGGCUUUGUCCUGACAAUCCUGCUGGAAAUGAAGUCCAGGGAUUUGCUGUGGAGAUGCGCCUGAUGCAAGGCUGGUGACAGGGCUCCCUUCAGGACAGGAAUCAGUAAUCAGCCAUCCUGCCUGCACACUGUCCCUGUAUCCAGCACUGUGCCUGUCCUGCAAGGCUCUGGGAGCAGCUCAAGUAGCACCAGGGCAGCAGCAGGGGCCAUUCCCUGCCAGGAUGUGAUUAUCCCACAAACAAGGAGCUUGUGGUACCCACCUGCACUAGAGCAGCCAGCACUGGCUCUGGGCAUGCUGGUGGCUGGCUGGGGGCUCUGCUCCAUGCCAGCCAUCUGGAAUCUUCAUGAGACACCAUGUUUGGUUAUCACCAUGACACAACAAAUCCUAGCAGAGUAUUAAUCACUGCUUGGAACAGCAUCCACCCUAGGUUUAGUUAUGGUAAGCUACGCCAGGCCUUGUCUGACAGUGUGUAGCCAUCUGAAGAGCCCAGAUUCCAGGCAUUUUCCAAGCUUUUUCUCCCUUCUCUCAUAGGCAAUGUGUGCCAUUCACAUCUCAGAGUGCUCUGCUGGAACACCACCCAUAGCCUGGUUAUGCUGUAGUGUGGGAACAUCAGAUGGUGCAGGUGAGGUGCCCUCAUGUGUGAGUCUCGUUUUGGUGGGUGAAAAUGGUCAAUGUGGUGAUGCUGGGGGGGGAGAUGGGGCUUUGAUGGGUGAAUUCUGUGACUUCCCUACAUCUGCAUUCAGAGAAGGGAGUGAUGGGGAGGGGCAUGUCGGGAUCAGUGCCUGGACUGCUGGCUGCUGGUGUGGGAUACAGGCAGCAUCAGAAACACCAAACUGCAGGAUGCUGCUAACCAGUAUCAGUGAGGAUCCAGAGCCAGUAUCCCAAAUGCAAGCACCUUGGUGGGAUGUGGGAUGGAGCUGGCGCCUGGCCCUGUG